Venturia canescens is the source of this 894-nucleotide long non-coding RNA. RefSeq lists it as uncharacterized. The transcript is spliced from 4 exons. Lineage: Eukaryota; Metazoa; Arthropoda; Insecta; Hymenoptera; Ichneumonidae. The record is from RefSeq and is a predicted model, not a curated record.
CAUGCGUUGAAGAAGAAUAUAUUUUUAUCGAAAUAAAAAAUGAGAAAAUCUGGUUGGCUCUCGCCAUCCAUUUCUACGUCAAUGACGCUUACGAAAUUCAGGCCAGACUCGUGACCUCGUCAAGCAACACGGAAAACCAAACAGAAAGAAAUCAAGAGGAAAAAUAAAAAAACGACGGCAAUGUCCCACCCCCAGGAGAUUUAGCAACAUGUGGCCGUGUGUAUUUUCGAAUGUAUAUUUUUCGCAUCUUAACCGGCUGAUUCUCUCUGGCGAAUCGCCAAAAAUAUUACGUAUCGUAUUUUUCCUCAAGUAACUUACCUUGGGGAAACGUUCCUUGUAGAGGGUAUUCAUCAUUUGUAUCUCAUUGUCCAAAACCGGAGAUCGACUCGGACUGCUGCAAAUUUACGUCCGUUCCUCGUUAGACUUUUGAAAUUACCGAAACGUUGCUUGAGCCUGGUGUCGUUCCAUAUCCACUGGAAGGCAAACUGGCUACGGACCAUCGUCGCCCAUCGGCCGUACCAGAAGCACCGGCACCGAUUCUUUUUUGUUUCGUCAGAGUACAACAUUUGUGGAUUAUUCGAAAUUUCAACGUAAAUACUGAGUGAACUCAAUGGCCAAAGUUAACCUCACGGAUGUUGAUAAUAGAAUACGGACCUGGACGAACAGGAGCUUCUUUGCUAAUAGGCUUAGGAGGCUGGACUUGGCGAGCGGAAGACUCGAGCUCCGCGUUGCCAGGACUCUCGUCAUUUUCUACUUGAUCAAAGACCAAAACUCUGGCUGAAUUACCAUGGGACCUAAGACGAGGCAUGACUAUAAAACGAUAAAAUGGAGCAAAACAAUCCAACUUUUCGAAAUACGUUCGAGAAUAAAUAGAAAUUCUAUUCGACAGCAAAA